RNAcentral lists this long non-coding RNA (2565 nucleotides) under Xyrichtys novacula (pearly razorfish). The record is from RNAcentral. Lineage: Eukaryota; Metazoa; Chordata; Actinopteri; Labriformes; Labridae.
AUAACCUGAGCUGCGUCCGAAUUGCCAAGUAGUAGUCGAAGUAGUAGUCGAAGUAGUAUCUAGCAUGUCCGAAUUGGCCACCGGAGCGAGUAGCAUGCUACUUCAGAUACUACUUCAGAUGCUAGACACGCCCACAUUGUAGGUUGGUCUCGGUGCAUCCUACGGGCAUGCUACUGACCCAAAAUGCACCGCGGGCUUCUUCUUCGUCCUCUUAAAAGUUGUAGAAGCGCAUGUGAUGCUAGCGCCACCAGCUGCUCUGCCUAUUUAAAAGUGUCGCAACGCCGGCUGGCCACAGCAGCGCGCACCAUGUCGGAGCAGCAGCAGCAGGCGGGACCGCAGUAGUACAGAUGUAAGUUUCAUGUAACUUCACACACUGUCCUAAAAAAUGUGCGGUUGUAUCUCUUUGUCAUGUCAUGGUGUCAUAUUUGCCCAAGUAAUCAUUUUAUGAGCAAGUGGCGACAUCAUGGAGGUAAAGCUCACUUAUUCCAUCAUUAAACUGCACAGCUGCAGUACUACAGCCAGGCCCGCAGAUGAGGGGCUUCAGUUACCACUGUCUGCACAGGCGCAGUACCUACUCUCUGCCUGCGGGGGUCGUCUUUCCCCACCGCUCGUCUAGUGUGUCCGAAUUGGGCCAACGUUUUUAGUAUGUAGGAGUAGGAUCUAGCAGUAGCACGUAGCAGUAGCAUGUAGUAUCCGAGCGGGCAGUUCGGACGCAGCACUGGAGUUACGCGCGUGCACAACCACUAUAAAAAGCCAUCAUCAAUGGAGCCCCGAUACCACGAGUCACCAUGACAACAGAGCAAAAACGGUCAAUUUAUUUCACCCCGGUGGAGUUGGAGGUCCUUAUGCUUGCCUAAGGCGAGUAUGAGAACAUUUUUCGCCGCAAAUCCAACACGGCUGCAGCAGCGAAGGAGAGAGAGACGGCAUGGGAGAAAAUUGCUGCGCGAGUCAAUGCGUAAGUUUGAAUGUACUACUCCAUUGACGUAACAUAUAAGAUCGAAGCACAGUCUAUAGUUAUGAAUAUAAGUAGGAAUGAAAUCUGAUUUUCAUUUAGGUGCAAUCCAACGGGAGAAAAAAGGACUUGGAAGCAGCUCAAAAUGAAACAUAAAAAGAUAAUUCAAAAAGGUAAGGCAUAUUUUGCUAGGCUGUGAUUGCACCUCACUUUGAUUUUAAUUUAAUUUUUUAAAAUGGACUUAGGCUAUUAGACAGAGUCAAUAUUAAUUUAAACUAAAAUAUUAAUUCAGCGGCUACUUCAAAUAAUAAUUUAAACCCCAAACAAAAUGUAGUUUUUCAACGUCCUCUCACUUAAUUCUACACUUCGUGGAUUAACACUUGAUACAAACACAUUUAUAUUUUAGACCUAUUGAAGUCAUUUAAAAUGUGACGCUGUAGCCUACACCAACACUGAUUAAAAUACUAUUUUAAAAUAAACAUUGACUUCUGCUCAGCCAACAGAAAGAAGGCAGAGGCCCGGAAAACGGGUGGAGGGCCACCUUUACUACCUCUGACGGAGGCUGAGGAGCUGGCCCCCAGCCAAAACAGGGGUCGCCCUGUGGCUGAAGGCAUCCCCGGGGGAAGCUCAUCUGAGCCUGUCACCCCCCAGGACACAAGUCCCUACAUCAGAUGCAAGUAUACACUUAUGUCUUUAAAAAAAAUAAAACUAAUAUAUAAAUAUAUAUAGCCAACUUUUUAACAAAUAUAUAUCCACCCACCCAACAGUUGUGGAUGGUGUCAUCUGCCUGCUUCAGCCUCCGACAGAAACAAACCCUGUAGCUGUAAGUCUUACAUACUCAGAUGCCUCAGAUGGUUGUUCAAAGUAUUCUGAAACAGUAUAUUUUCCUGCAUUACAGGAGGAGGAAGAGGAGGAGGAUGAGGAUGAGGAAACACUGUCUGCUGCCACAGGGAGAGAUCCAGAGGGGCUUCCUGAAGUGUGUCUUAAUAUAUAGCUACUGGCAGUGCCCAUUCAUUUACAUUCUAAAGGGGAAUUUGGAGUUUGACAUGUACACUGAAUAGACGAGCAUAAAUAAUGGACAAACUAGCUCAUUCUUGUCAUUCAACAGAACAUGGCUGGGCAUCACCAGGAGGAGGGUCCAUCAACCUCAACGGCACAGCUUGUCAAAGUGAGAUUUUCGGUCAAUACCAUGUUAAAUCUGUAUGUAGAACUAAAUGAAUUAAAUGUCGUUCAUGUUUCCCAGCUCCCGCCCGGUUAAGGAGUUAUACAGGGUGCACCUCAUGACAAGUAUAAAAAAAAAAAGAAAUGGUCUAUCUGGAUCGGCAGAUUGCUAAAACAGACCUGGAAAUUCUAUUACUGGAACGCCAGUUGAGGUGGGUGCAUUGUCAUGGUGAAUAUGUGAAAUAUGUUAAUGGUUGGAACUACAUUACAAAUCCUGACUGUUGCUUUUGUACUCUUAAGGAAUAAAGAAGAACCAAAUCACAUAUGCAUUUUUUUUUUAAAUCAUGUGAUGUGAGUGCUCGUCCGCGGUGUGUGAGAUUGGUGAUAUACAUCCGGAGAGGGUUAUUUAGAUAAAUUAUACUGUUCAAAGAAAAGCGGUAGCGUUCGAAAAG